AUUGAGAAAAAUCAGAAAAAUAGUGAAACAGGAAGAAAUCCCACAGGGAAGCAGAGCCGCACGCGCGGAUGCCGCGCAGAUAGGCCCUAUGCAUGGUAAGAGGCCUGUGCACCUGCAAGAUAGCCUGCAGUGCACCACUGUCACCUCCGACGGUGCCCCAGUGGCUGGAGGAGGCCCUUCUCCCUCAUUUUUUGUGUCGAGCUCUUUUUCUCCUCUCUCUUCAUCGGAUUUUGCCACUUAGUGCAAAUCCGACCGUUAUAAAAUUUUAUAAAUAGGUCUUCCCGUCCUAUUCUUUCCCACAUUUCCAUUCUUCAAUUUUUCUAGACGUAAGAGAACCGCUCCUAGUGGAUGACGGUGUACCCUCUGACGAGAGUGGUAACGCGAAUAUUUAUUAGGGGUCAGCCUAAUAAAAGAGAAAAUCAAAUAAAUUAUGAAAUGCUAUGAUCUUAGUGUCAUGCUUCACGAUAUUACUUAGCCACGGGUGACCCCUACAGAUAGUGUGAUACCACUCUCGUCAGAGGGUACGUCAUCCUCCAUUGGGAGUGGUCCUCUUAUAUCUUUCCAGACCAGAUAGAGGAGGGAGGAAAAAGAUACCCCAAAGAGCCAGAGGAACAGAUACUCCUCAACGAUAAAAAGGCUAACGAGACACUUGAUGCAACAUGCAUGUCAAUACAGAUACACUUCAGACCAUACAUGCUUC
RNAcentral lists this long non-coding RNA (700 nucleotides) under Carica papaya (papaya). Its description in RNAcentral is "long non-coding RNA (CPAP_LNC003925)". Lineage: Eukaryota; Viridiplantae; Streptophyta; Magnoliopsida; Brassicales; Caricaceae. The record is from RNAcentral.